GAGCGAACGGGGAGCAGCCCAGAGCCUGAAUCAGUGUGUGUGUUAGUGGAAGCGUCUGGAAAGGCGCGCGAUACAGGGUGACAGCCCCGUACACAAAAAUGCACAUACUGUGAGCUCGAUGAGUAGGGCGGGACACGUGGUAUCCUGUCUGAAUAUGGGGGGACCAUCCUCCAAGGCUAAAUACUCCUGACUGACCGAUAGUGAACCAGUACCGUGAGGGAAAGGCGAAAAGAACCCCGGCGAGGGGAGUGAAAAAGAACCUGAAACCGUGUACGUACAAGCAGUGGGAGCACGCUUAGGCGUGUGACUGCGUACCUUUUGUAUAAUGGGUCAGCGACUUAUAUUCUGUAGCAAGGUUAACCGAAUAGGGGAGCCGAAGGGAAACCGAGUCUUAACUGGGCGUUAAGUUGCAGGGUAUAGACCCGAAACCCGGUGAUCUAGCCAUGGGCAGGUUGAAGGUUGGGUAACACUAACUGGAGGACCGAACCGACUAAUGUUGAAAAAUUAGCGGAUGACUUGUGGCUGGGGGUGAAAGGCCAAUCAAACCGGGAGAUAGCUGGUUCUCCCCGAAAGCUAUUUAGGUAGCGCCUCGUGAAUUCAUCUCCGGGGGUAGAGCACUGUUUCGGCAAGGGGGUCAUCCCGACUUACCAACCCGAUGCAAACUGCGAAUACCGGAGAAUGUUAUCACGGGAGACACACGGCGGGUGCUAACGUCCGUCGUGAAGAGGGAAACAACCCAGACCGCCAGCUAAGGUCCCAAAGUCAUGGUUAAGUGGGAAACGAUGUGGGAAGGCCCAGACAGCCAGGAUGUUGGCUUAGAAGCAGCCAUCAUUUAAAGAAAGCGUAAUAGCUCACUGGUCGAGUCGGCCUGCGCGGAAGAUGUAACGGGGCUAAACCAUGCAC
RNAcentral lists this ribosomal RNA (903 nucleotides) under Escherichia coli. Its description in RNAcentral is "partial 23S ribosomal RNA". It matches the Rfam family "Bacterial large subunit ribosomal RNA", at positions 251 to 1194 of the family's 2925-position model. The record is from RNAcentral. Lineage: Bacteria; Pseudomonadati; Pseudomonadota; Gammaproteobacteria; Enterobacterales; Enterobacteriaceae.